RNAcentral lists this ribosomal RNA (1114 nucleotides) under uncultured organism. RNAcentral describes it as "bacterial SSU rRNA". It matches the Rfam family "Bacterial small subunit ribosomal RNA", at positions 24 to 1139 of the family's 1533-position model. The record is from RNAcentral.
UCAGGAUGAACGCUAGCGGCAGGCUAACACAUGCAAGUCGAGGGGUAAGGUUCAGCUUGCUGAAUACACGACCGGCGCACGGGUGAGUAACACGUUUGCAACCUUCCUCUAACUGGAGAAUAGCCCGAAGAAAUUCGGAUUAAUACUCCAUAAAGUCAAUUUAAGGCAUCUUUUAUUGAUUAAAGCUCCGGCGGUUAGAGAUGGGCAUGCGUGUCAUUAGCUAGUUGGUGAGGUAACGGCUCACCAAGGCCACGAUGACUAGGGGGUCUGAGAGGAUGAUCCCCCACACUGGUACUGAGACACGGACCAGACUCCUACGGGAGGCAGCAGUGAGGAAUAUUGGGCAAUGGACGCAAGUCUGACCCAGCCAUGCCGCGUGCAGGAUGACUGCCCUAUGGGUUGUAAACUGCUUUUGUUUGGGAAGAAACCCCCGAUCGUGAUCGGGGCUGACGGUGCCAUACGAAUAAGCAUCGGCUAACUCCGUGCCAGCAGCCGCGGUAAUACGGAAGAUGCAAGCGUUAUCCGGAUUCAUUGGGUUUAAAGGGUGCGCAGGCGGAAUAUUAAGUCAGUGGUGAAAUCCUGCAGCUUAACUGUAGAACUGCCAUUGAUACUGAUAUUCUUGAAUAUAGUUGAGGUGGGCGGAAUGUGUAAUGUAGCGGUGAAAUGCUUAGAUAUUACACAGAACACCAAUUGCGAAGGCAGCUCACUAAACUAAUAUUGACGCUGAGGCACGAAAGCGUGGGUAGCAAACCAGGAUUAGAUACCCUGGUAGUCCACGCUGUAAACUAUGAUCACUCGCUGUUGGCAAUACAUCGUCAGCGGCUGAGCGAAAGCAUUAAGUGAUCCACCUGGGGAGUACGGUCGCAAGAUUGAAACUCAAAGGAAUUGACGGGGGCCCGCACAAGCGGAGGAACAUGUGGUUUAUUUCGAUGAUACGCGAAGGAACCCUUACCUGGGGCUUAAUGCAGAGCGACGUCCGCCGAAAGGUGGAAUUCCUUCGGGCGAUCUGCAAGGUGCUGCAUGGUUGUCGUCAGCUCGUGCCGUGAGUGUCGGGUUUAAGUCCCAUAACGAGCGCACUCUAUCGUUAGUUGCCCCACGGGUAAUGCCGGGGACU